AUCCUGGAUAUAACAUUCACCUUCACUAGAAUAUAUUCACGAUUUUUUCGAUUUUCAAAAUAUCCCCCUUUUUUUCCCGCACAGACAUAAUUUGCACCAAAAUGUCCAAGAAAAUAUUACAAAUCCAAUUUUAAUGUUCUAAUAUAUAUAUUUUAUAUGAAUAUUUAUUGUUUAAUAUAUCAUUAAAGUUUUGUCAUCAUUUAUUAUUUUUUAAUUUCAUAAUCGUUUUUUUACGAUAAUAGUGGAACGUUCAGCAGUACUCGGGUUUUACCGCUGCAUACUAUGAAAAGUCUGAGCAUGCGCACUUUCACCGCUUGAUUUUUAAAAACAGUGAGAAAACUUGCAGUGAAAUUUAGCUCGAUCUAGAUUCCAGAACAAAGAAAAAGAGUCUUGUAUAAAAAUCCACAGAUCCAAUGUGUCUGAGGUUGAGGAAUGCAUUGCAGUAACACUUAAGCAUGCACCAGCUCAAAAAGAUGGACCAAGAUAUUAAAAGAGACCUGAAACCAACACAAGACCAGCUGAUCAGAGGGCAGAAAACCAAAAUUUGGAAUGACAUGUAUACAGCCAACACAAGACUAAAAUUUGGAAUAAAAAUAAAAAAAUUCAGAAACAUAUUAAUUUAUUAU
This is a long non-coding RNA of Mytilus californianus (California mussel), 626 nucleotides long. RefSeq lists it as uncharacterized. The record is from RefSeq and is a predicted model, not a curated record. NCBI's taxonomy places the organism in Eukaryota, Metazoa, Mollusca, Bivalvia, Mytilida, Mytilidae. The transcript is spliced from 3 exons.